GACGAACGCUGGCGGCGCGCUUAACACAUGCAAGUCGAGCGAAGCGGCGGACGGGUGAGUAACACGUGAGUAACCUGCCUUAGACAUUGGGAUAGCCUCGGGAAACCGCGAUUAAUACCCUCUGGUAGAAGAUGGCCUCAUGACCCAUUAGCUAGUUGGUGAUUAAAAGCUCACCAAGGCGACGAUGGGUAGCCGGGUUGGGAGAGUGAACGGCGACAUUGGAGCGGAGACACGGUCCAGACUCUACGGGAGGCAGCAGUGGGGAAUAUGGCACAAUGGGGGAAACCCUGAUGCAGCGACGUCGGGUGAGCGAAGACGGCCUUCGGGUCGUAAAGCUCUGUCCUAUGGGAAGCGGUACCAUAGAAGGAAGCCCCGGCUAACUACGUGCCAGCAGCCGCGGUAAUAC
RNAcentral lists this ribosomal RNA (406 nucleotides) under uncultured bacterium. RNAcentral describes it as "partial 16S ribosomal RNA". It matches the Rfam family "Bacterial small subunit ribosomal RNA", at positions 28 to 526 of the family's 1533-position model. The record is from RNAcentral.